This 465-nucleotide ribosomal RNA is filed under the name uncultured bacterium. RNAcentral describes it as "bacterial SSU rRNA". It matches the Rfam family "Bacterial small subunit ribosomal RNA", at positions 338 to 795 of the family's 1533-position model. The record is from RNAcentral.
CCUACGGGCGGCAGCAGCGGGGAAUAUUGCACAAUGGGCGCAAGCCUGAUGCAGCCAUGCCGCGUGUAUGAAGAAGGCCUUCGGGUUGUAAAGUACUUUCAGCGAGGAAGAAGGCAUCAAGGUUAAUAACCUUGGUGAUUGACGUUACUCGCAGAAGAAGCACCGGCUAACUCCGUGCCAGCAGCCGCGGUAAUACGGAGGGUGCAAGCGUUAAUCGGAAUUACUGGGCGUAAAGCGCACGCAGGCGGUCUGUCAAGUCGGAUGUGAAAUCCCCGGGCUCAACCUGGGAACUGCAUUCGAAACUGGCAGGCUAGAGUCUUGUAGAGGGGGGUAGAAUUCCAGGUGUAGCGGUGAUAUGCGUAGAGAUCUGGAGGAAUACCGGUGGCGAAGGUGGCCCCCUGGACAAAGACUGACGCUCAGGUGCGAAAGCGUGGGGAGCAAACAGGAUUAGAUACCCUCGUAGUC